GAUGAACGCUGGCGGCGUGCCUAAUACAUGCAAGUCGAGCGAACGGACGAGAAGCCUGCUUCUCUGAUGUUAGCGGCGGACGGGUGAGUAACACGUGGAUAACCUACCUAUAAGACUGGGAUAACUUCAGGAAACCGGAGCUAAUACCGGAUAAUAUUUUGAACCGCAUGGUUCAAAAGUGAAAGACGGUCUUGCUGUCACUUAUAGAUGGAUCCGCGCUGCAUUAGCUAGUUGGUAAGGUAACGGCUUACCAAGGCAACGAUGCAUAGCCGACCUGAGAGGGUGAUCGGCCACACUGGAACUGAGACACGGUCCAGACUCCUACGGGAGGCAGCAGUAGGGAAUCUUCCGCAAUGGGCGAAAGCCUGACGGAGCAACGCCGCGUGAGUGAUGAAGGUCUUCGGAUCGUAAAACUCUGUUAUUAGGGAAGAACAUAUGUGUAAGUAACUGUGCACAUCUUGACGGUACCUAAUCAGAAAGCCACGGCUAACUACGUG
This 497-nucleotide ribosomal RNA is filed under the name uncultured bacterium. Its description in RNAcentral is "partial 16S ribosomal RNA". It matches the Rfam family "Bacterial small subunit ribosomal RNA", at positions 28 to 507 of the family's 1533-position model. The record is from RNAcentral.